GGAGGGGGCAACCACAUGGCUGGCUGGUACUUCUUACUCUGGGGGGUCUCCUCAUGAUCAGUUGCAUAACAGCCACGGUGGUCCUUGCACUCUGGGGAGUUACCCUCCUACUCCCAGGGGAUGAGCAAUCUCUUUAAGGUCUUUCCUCCUGGGCUGGGAGCCACACAAGUGUGCCAUGGAAUGUGGAGCUCCUCCCUGGGCAGAGUGCCUGAGAGCUAAGGGGAGGAUGACACCUCCCCCUGCAGUGACUCUUUAAGAGAAAAGGGUAAAAGGAGAAAAUCCAGGAUUAAUUCAUCUUUCUGGGCUUGAGAUACUGAACAAGCAACACCUGGUCUCAUCUGAACCCUGCGGAUGUAUUUUUCACCCAAGAAAUUUCGGAUUUCAACAAGAGAACCAUUCUCCUGGAUAA
This 409-nucleotide long non-coding RNA is filed under the name Pan troglodytes (chimpanzee). Its description in RNAcentral is "long non-coding RNA NONPTRT005294". The record is from RNAcentral. Lineage: Eukaryota; Metazoa; Chordata; Mammalia; Primates; Hominidae.